CCUACGGGUGGCAGCAGUCGAGAAUCAUUCACAAUGGGGGAAACCCUGAUGGUGCGACGCCGCGUGGGGGAAUGAAGGUCUUCGGAUUGUAAACCCCUGUCAUGUGGGAGCAAAUUAAAAAGAUAGUACCACACGAGGAAGAGACGGCUAACUCUGUGCCAGCAGCCGCGGUAAUACAGAGGUCUCAAGCGUUGUUCGGAAUCACUGGGCGUAAAGCGUGCGUAGGCUGUUUCGUAAGUCGUGUGUGAAAGGCGCGGGCUCAACCCGCGGACGGCACAUGAUACUGCGAGACUAGAGUAAUGGAGGGGGAACCGGAAUGCUCGGUGUAGCAGUGAAAUGCGUAGAUAUCGAGAGGAACACUCGUGGCGAAGGCGGGUUCCUGGACAUUUACUGACGCUGAGGCACGAAGGCCAGGGGAGCGAAAGGGAUUAGAUACCCUAGUAGUC
Molecule: ribosomal RNA, 446 nt
Filed under: uncultured bacterium
Lineage: Bacteria
Description: partial 16S ribosomal RNA
Rfam family: Bacterial small subunit ribosomal RNA
Source: RNAcentral